Molecule: ribosomal RNA, 460 nt
Filed under: uncultured bacterium
Lineage: Bacteria
Description: partial 16S ribosomal RNA
Rfam family: Bacterial small subunit ribosomal RNA
Source: RNAcentral
CCUACGGGUGACAGCAGUGAGGAAUAUUGGUCAAUGGACGCAAGUCUGAACCAGCCAUGCCGCGUGCAGGAAGACGGCUCUAUGAGUUGUAACCUGCUUUUGUACGAGGGUAAACGCAGAUACGCGUAUCUGUCUGACAGUAUCGUACCAAUAAGGAUCGGCCAACUCCGUGCCAGCAGCCGCGGUAAUACGGAGGAUUCAAGCGUUAUCCGGAUUUAUUGGGUUUAAAGGGUGCGUAGGCGGUCGGAUAAGUUAGAGGUGAAAUCCCGAGGCUCAACUUCGGAAUUGCCUCUGAUACUGUUAGGCUAGAGAGUAGUUGCGGUAGGCGGAAUGUAUGGUGUAGCGGUGAAAUGCUUAGAGAUCAUACAGAACACCGAUUGCGAAGGCAGCUUACCAAGCUACUUCUGACGUUGAGGCACGAAAGCGUGGGGAGCAAACAGGAUUAGAUACCCUUGUAGUC